UACAGAGGAGCCAAGCGUUGUCCGGAUUGACUGGGCGUAAAGCGCACGCAGGCGGUUGCGCGCGUGGGGUGGGAAAUCUGGCCGCUUAACGGCCAGGCGCCAUCCCAUACGGCGCGACUGGAGUGAUGCAGAGGUCGAUGGAAUUGCCGGUGUAGUGGUGAAAUGCGUAGAGAUCAGCAGGAACACCCAGGGGGAAACCAGUCGACUGGGCAUCUACUGACGCUGAGGUGCGAGAGCGUGGGGAGCGAACCGG
RNAcentral lists this ribosomal RNA (253 nucleotides) under uncultured bacterium. RNAcentral's name for it is "partial 16S ribosomal RNA". It matches the Rfam family "Bacterial small subunit ribosomal RNA", at positions 524 to 776 of the family's 1533-position model. The record is from RNAcentral.